UAUCGUAAUAGUAAUUCAACUUAGUACGAGAGGAACCGUUGAUUCACGUAAUUGGUAUUUGCGGCUGUCCGAUCGGGCAAUGCCGCGAAGCUACCACGCGUUGGAUUAUGGCUGAACGCCUCUAAGCCAGAAUCCGUGCUAGAAACGAUGAUGUUAGUCCCGCGAAUCUUAGUCGAGUUAAGAUAGAGCCUUGUGCUCGUAAACCAUAGUUGGCUGGUCCCUCUAUUCUUGGCGGAAAGGCCUUGGGUAGUCACCGGUGAAUUGCAUUCGAAAUAUACGCGGGGGUGAAUCCUUUGCAGACGACUUGAAUAGAACGGAGUACUGUAAGUGGU
Molecule: ribosomal RNA, 332 nt
Filed under: Stephanopyxis turris
Lineage: Eukaryota; Bacillariophyta; Melosirophyceae; Stephanopyxales; Stephanopyxidaceae
Description: partial Eukaryotic large subunit ribosomal RNA
Rfam family: Eukaryotic large subunit ribosomal RNA
Source: RNAcentral